Molecule: long non-coding RNA, 1509 nt
Organism: Astyanax mexicanus (Mexican tetra)
Lineage: Eukaryota; Metazoa; Chordata; Actinopteri; Characiformes; Acestrorhamphidae
Exons: 2
Source: RefSeq, a predicted model, not a curated record
UAGUGUUGAGGGAAGGGGUAAUGUUAAAGGUGUAAUAGUGUUAAGGGAAGGUAUAAUAUUGUUAAGGGAAGGUGUAAUGCAGGGGUCUCAAACUCAUAUUUGCCGAGGGCCACAUUGACAUAUUGGCUGUCCUCUGAGGGCCAGAUGUAACUUAUAAAUAUAAGAAAAUGUAACCAGAUGUAAUAUAAAAUGAAUGUAAUUACUCCUUAAUGUUAAAUAACUCUCAAUAUACUAUUUAUUCAAUCAAAUAUUACAGUUGCAUGGAAAAAUGUUUGCUUGUUGCUCUAUUAACAUAAAUCCUUUUAAUUUGUCAUGUUAUGAAAUCCAAAAACUCCAUCAAUCAAGAACCAAACUAUUCAAGUGAAUAGAAAUUACAUCAAGUACAAGUUAUAUUAACUUUGAUCAAAACGUUUGAUACUGAAAUAAGGCUUAAUAAAUAUAAAAUCAAAAAUUGUGAGCUGUGACAGAUUUAGCAUUUCCUCAGAUUUAGCAGUUCCUCAUCCAACCACUAGUCGGAGCUGCAGCUGCAGCACCACAAGCCCGCAGUCUUUGCUUAGUCAGAGCUACAGCCCAGCCACGGGCUACAGGACUCAGCUGAGCCAGUCUGGAGCGUUUUGAAAUUUUUUAAGUUCUUCUGUGUAUGAAAUAAAAUAACCCCACUAACCGGAUAAUACAGCUCUCUACAGUUCAUCUUUCAGCCCAAGCAGCUAACAGCAGCAGUUUAGAGCAGCGUCACGGAGGCACUGCUGGGAUUACAUUAUAAACAGGUCAGUUAGCGCGCUGCUAACCUCAGGAUGUUUAUAACUACGGAGUUUAGUGGACACACCACGGCUGCAAGGUUAGACUGUUGAAGGCUACUGAAGACUACUAAAGCAGGCAACGCAGCGUAAGCAAAAAAAAAAAAAAAAAACACACACACACACCAAAAUACAAGUUAAGAUAAAAUAUGAAAACGAACAUAAUAAAGCAUAAAUAAUUAAAUUGAAUUGCGGGCCAGAUGUAUGUUUAUUUUGUUAACCCGUGAGGGGCCGUAUGAAACCGCGUGGGCCGGUACUUUGAGACCCCUGGUGUAAUGUAAAGGUGUAAUAGUGUUGAGGGAAGGUAUAAUAUUGUUAAGGGAAGGUGUAAUGUUAAAGGUGUAAUAGUUUUGAGGGAAGGUGUAAUGUUAAAGGUGUAAUAGUUUUGAGGGAAGGUGUAAUGUUAAAGGUGUAAUAGUUUUGAGGGAAGGUGUAAUGUUAAAGGUGUAAUAGUGUUGAGGGAAGGUAUAAUAUUGUUAAGGGAAGGUGUAAUGUUAAAGGUGUAAUAGUUUUGAGGGAAGGUGUAAUAGUGUUGAGGGAAGGUGUAAUGUUAAAGGUGUAAUAGUGUUGAGGGAAGGUAUAAUAUUGUUAAGGGAAGGUGUAAUGUAAAGCUGUAAUAGUUUUAAGGGAAGGUAAAUGUUUAGUGAAAUUGUUAUGGUGUGAAUCUAAGGUGUAUGUUAUGUUGAUGUAAAAUAAAGGCAUUAACCCCAAA